RNAcentral lists this non-coding RNA (126 nucleotides) under Catagonus wagneri (Chacoan peccary). The record is from RNAcentral. Lineage: Eukaryota; Metazoa; Chordata; Mammalia; Artiodactyla; Tayassuidae.
GCAUUGUAAGAAAGGAGGGCAGGUUAGCGCUCUCCUUGACAAGAAUGGAAGAGGCCCUCAGGCCUGACAACACACAUACUGUUAAGGCAUUGCCACCUGCUUCAUAGACUCUAACCACUGUUUUUU